AUUUUAUACAGAAGCGGCGAGAGAUUAGGCUCUACGACCCGCUGGCAACCUUCGACCGCGCGAAAGGUGCCACUUCCUACCCCUCGGCCCCUGGCCGUUGCGGGAAAUAUAACCG
This 115-nucleotide non-coding RNA is filed under the name Hymenobacter sp. PAMC 26628. RNAcentral describes it as "SAM riboswitch aptamer (S box leader)". It matches the Rfam family "SAM riboswitch aptamer (S box leader)". Rfam says of the family: The SAM riboswitch is found upstream of a number of genes which code for proteins involved in methionine or cysteine biosynthesis in Gram-positive bacteria. The SAM riboswitch acts at the level of transcription termination control. Lineage: Bacteria; Pseudomonadati; Bacteroidota; Cytophagia; Cytophagales; Hymenobacteraceae. RNAcentral also lists the same sequence under 1 other name. The record is from Rfam by way of RNAcentral.